Balaenoptera acutorostrata (minke whale) is the source of this 5272-nucleotide long non-coding RNA. RefSeq lists it as uncharacterized. The transcript is spliced from 6 exons. The record is from RefSeq and is a predicted model, not a curated record. Lineage: Eukaryota; Metazoa; Chordata; Mammalia; Artiodactyla; Balaenopteridae.
GAAGGGAGAACAUGUUCUAGCAAUGAAAUCUUCAAAAGACUCCUGCUGCUGCUCUGUGACUGGGACCCCCAGGUUGUCUUUGGAAGUUUCUAAGGCCUCCUGAGUAGAGACUGGGACAUGGAAGGAGUCGAGAGGCAAAGGAAGCCCAGCAUCACCUGUAAUUUUCUGAAACUGGAGGGAAAGACAAAAGACAAGACAAAAAUUCAGUGAUGAACAAAGCCAACCAUUAAAAAGUAGAGUUCAAAACGUCAAUGUUAUUCUGUGAUCUUAUUAUUAACACAGUAAUUGAUUAUUCAGAAGAUUUCAGAGCCAGUUUUUUUCUAAUUAUAUCUUGCCAAGUGAUUCUCAACUUAACCUAGCUAUAUCCAAGGCUAUGUCUGCUACAUUUUCAGACUUUGGUGAUUGGGGUAGUUAUUACCCAUUUCCUUUCCCUCACUAAAAAUGAAACCCUACUCUGUAAGAAAAUUAAUUUCUUUUCUAUCCUCCAGGCACAUGUAAACAGUAUAUAGUUUGUGACCAGACUGUGUUCUCAAGCUGUCAGUUCCCAAGACCAGUCUGAGAUUGGCUGAGGUGGGUGAAGGGGGCUCCAAGUAACGCUAGAGGAAAAGCUGACAUGUUUCCCCUCCCAUUCCCAUGACCAGACAACAGGAAGAGAAAAUAAAAAUGUAAACAAUGGGAGGAACCAAGAUGGCAGACUAGAAGGACGUGAUCUCACUCCCUCUUGCGAGGACACUGGAAUCACAACUAGCUGCUGGACGGUCAUCGACAGGAAGACACUGGAACACACCAAAAAGGAUACCCCACAUCCAAAGACAAAGGAGAAGCCACAAUGAGACGGCACCCCAGAGAGAAGGUGUGGAACUAUUAGAAGCAACCUGGAUAUCAACCCUGCUUCUGGGAGGCAGUUCUGACUACAAGGGCAGGAGAUUCUCUGAAGCCAGCUCGAGAGAGGCUAUAUUCAUCUGUGUUGAUCACUGCUGUGUUUCCUGAACAUGCCUAUAAAACAUACUGAAGAAGGGUGCCUGAAAUUUGGGUAAAAUUGAAGCGUCCUGGCAGACAGGAGAAGUGACGGAAGGAGAGCUGCGUCUGGACCUUGGAGGAGGGCUGCGAUCUCACAGGAGAAGCAGGUGCGAGGGAGACCCUGGGGCAGCCACCGGGAGGCCAGGAGGCUGGAGUGAGCAUGCUCAGAGAGGCUGUGGUGGGAUCGUGGUCCGUGAGGAUGAGGGUGGAGGAAGUUACACAGGUGGGAUGGGGCCAGGUUUCACCUGACUCUGAAAGCCAGGCAGAAGGCAGACUAGAAACUUGAGGCUUGUGUUUCUCAAACCCCAGGCUACUCAUAAAUAUGCAGCAUCUUCCUGGAAACUCAGUGUUAUACAAAUAUUUGGGGCAACUCAUUCUUUAACUCAUGUACUAAAACAAACGUUCUGGAGUAGAAUACAAAAUUGACGUGACUUUCGUAAUAAAAUAUGCAUUUUUGAAGCCACUUUGGUUUAUGGCAGGUCCCUUGCAUGACACUGUCACACCCCCAGGGACUCUUCUCCAUAUGGGGUGUAUCACGGGACAGUUUGAGAAUUUCCUUAAGCAAUAGGAAAUGAGACCUCACUGCCCAAGGCUUUGCUCUGUGCCUGGAGCAUCUUUUCUGCCCCUGUGAGCAUCUUCUGGUCCCACUCCAAGAGCUGAUCUGACAUCUGGGCUAAUAGAGCAGAGUGACUGUGUGUCCCACGAAUAUUCGCCAAUGCCAAGAUGUGGUCCCUUAAUAUCAAGUGCUAGGACAUCUGUACGGUCCUUUGUAGGUUGAUUUGCCAUCAUACUCUCCACAGCCCUAGAAAUAAUAAUAUUACCCUGAUUUACAAAUGAGGGAAUGAUGUGCGGCAGGUUUUGUAAACAAGUUGGAUGGGUACUUUCGAGAAGACUGUAUGUCAGGACAUGGGUCCUGGCAGGCAGGGGGCCCCAGAGUCAUAUUCAUGUGUGCAGCCCUUUGAUCUGGAAGGUGCCUUCUGUCACGGUCAUCCGCCAGCUUCAUGGAAGGCAGCCGCCCUUCCUCAUUCAGUUCUCCAGCGUCUGUCAACUGGUGCAUUGCUGGACAGGAAUUCAUGACAGCGUUCAGCCCCAUGUUUCUUAUGAAGAAUUUAACUGAAGCAAACAGAAUUUAGGUGGGCAAUUUAGCCUUGGAGAUUGCUGUCUGUCCAUCUGUCUGUUUCUGUCUUUUUCUCUCUCUCUUUCAGGUUAUUGACAAUAUCAUCAUGAUUUGAAACCCCCAGAAUCACCUGCUUUUAUUUAGCAGGGUAUUGUAAAUAGUAAACUACUGUCUUCAAAGCUCAGGAAGCCCUGUCUAUUUUAAUACCAACUUUCUGAAGGCUCAUUAGUAAUUAAUGAAGUCAUUAAGAAUGGUUCACAGUGACUGACACCUUCCUGGCAACCACAAUCUCCUCUUGUACUUAGAGGAAAUGCCACUGGCUCCACAGGUUUGAUUUGGGGAGUGGAGUGGGUAGCUGUAGGGGGCAGGAAUCAGAUUACAUAAAGUUUCACAACAGCCAUCAGCCAGAACAGAAAGCUGUGCGUGUGUUCCUCCAAGUUCCUCUACUUCGGAAGCUGUGCCUUCAUCCAUCCAAUGCUGGUUUUCAGAAAUCUUGCUAAUAUCAUGUUUUCCAAGACAGUACCGUGUGGCUCAACUCAAUUAGCAAAGAUGUAAGGUUGAAAGUCACCCUCUCUUUUUUCUGUUGUUGUUUUUUCUCCCAUUUUCACACAUUUCCUUUUUUCUUGGCAUUGCCUAGAUUUAUUCUCCUCUUUUCCCUUUUAGGAACAGAAUUUGGCAUAAAUAAAUAACUGACAAAAUGGUAUAAGCAGGAGGGUAAACACAGGGUUUCUCCAGCCUCCGCUGCAGGUCGGGGUAAUUUGUUGCAGCAGGUGGUUACCCACAAGAAGGACGGGAGCUCCAACGGCUGCUGUUUAAUUUGUAUUUUAAUAAAGCAACCCACAGCCUUCCCUUAAUUGCUGACAAUGGAACGCGAACCCCCUCCAAAGCCUUUCAGGUCACUAAUGCACUGAAAUUGUUAAAUCGAAACGGACUACUUUAGCCAGGGCACUGGCCACAAGGUGGAAUUCGGUACAUUUCAUACCUCAGUGCAUUUAAAUGGUAUGGAGCUGAUAUUUAAUACAAAUGCAAGCACCAGUGGAGUCCGCAUACUUAAUCUGCCUUCUCCAACUCUCAGAAUUAAGCAGUUGAUCUAUGGGACACAAAGGGAUCAUCCUUCUCUCAAAGAGAAUAUUUUAUGACCAGGCAGUUUAUUUAUUUAUUUGAAAUUUAUUUAUUUAUUUUUUAUACAGCUGGGUCUUAUUAGUUAUCUAUUUUAUACAUAGUAGUGUACGUAUGUCAAUCCCAAUCUCCCAAUUCAUCCCACCACCACCAGGCAGUUUAAAAGGCACUGACAUAAACAACUGUUUACAGCUCUCUCUCUCUCUUUCAUCUUCAAAAGGCAAAAAGUACAUGUAAGGACUUGCUGUUUGGCAGACAAAGCAUUUUAGAAAGUCACUUGAAAUGCUUUCCUUUUCCUUUGAGGAUGACUGAAUCUUUGAUAGGUGCUCAAGAGAGUUCUUAUAAUUUAGUUUAUUUCUCUUAUUUUUUCUUAAGGGGGAGAAGUGGGAUAGUGUGAAGGCACAGAGCUGAAGCCUGCAUUUUUUUAUUUUUUCAUUUUACCUUCAUUUAUUUCUUCCAUUUAUUUCUCGCUCUCUGCUUUCUUGUGGAAGUGGAAAUCUUACGGCUUAAAUCAUAAAAGUAUUAUUUAUGGCUUUUACUCCAUGACUGAACGUGCCAGAUUUUCUGGGACAGGGUCAAUUUCAAAGGAACAGCUAAGGUUAAUUUCAUCCUUGGGGCUUUGUAAGAAUUUCACCUAGACAAAGGAAGGAAAUAAAAAACAAAUACUUUGCUACACCCCUUGUCCUAUUUUUUGACUCCUAGUAGAGGGUCACUCUCCUUUUAGCCAUGCUGAUAUUUGGAAAGCCACUAUGGAAAUGACUUAAUUUUUGAGGUAUAUGUCUCAUAAAUAAAAUGUGUGUCCCUCAUCUUCUCAUUUCCUUCCAGCGCUCGAGGGAGUAAGAAGACAUGGAGUGAAGAGCUGCCUCAUUUUCCAGAGAGAAUAGGGGCACUGAGAGCUAGGAGGGACGGCGGUAGCUGUCACAGUCCUGAAUUUUUACCUCCUGGAAUCCAGGAUGGGCCCCUUCCCCACCCCGCCAGCUGGAUGAGUGAUCACAGUGGAAUAAUGAUGCCAGGAGGCUCAGAGGGCCGCUCCCACACCGGGUUGGAGGAGAGCCUUACAGGUUGUCAAUGAAACCUGGAAUUAUUUCCUUUGAUGGCUCAGGUAAUAGUAGGAGCCAAGGCAAUGAGUGAGGUCGUCUGAAACCAAUGGAGUCCUGCCCGGGACCCGGGAGCCAAUCGCAGGAGCAGAGGGCGGGGCAUCAGCGCCAGCAGAAAAUUGCUAAGUGCCUCGCUAGCACAGUUGGUCCGAGCCGCCGAAAGGUCUGGUCGCAGAGACGGGGACGCGUAAUCCUCAGCGUGCUCCAUCCCGACAGCAGCCCUCCACGGCUCGGCAGGGCAGCGAGCCUCUGGGCACCGGCCCCUCUGCUCCACGGAGAAGGUACUCCUGCUGCAUCCCGGCGGGGCUGCUCUUGCGUUUCCGUCCUCAGCGGCUUGCAGUUUAGCCUCUGUAGAGGGGUUGCAGAAAGAAAAGUUUAGGGGAGGAAAUGUGACAACGGAGGGAAAUCACCGUGUUUUGUUGGGAGGAAAACAAGCUGACGGUUUGGGAAACUUCUGUGCUGUCUAGAACUGGAUUGGUUUACUACUCUCUCAAUUAGCCGCGCUCAGGUCUGUGGAAAUAGGUCUGGUCUUGGGCUAGGGUGCCUGCCUGUUGGGGUGUAGAUUUGGAUUUGUUGGGUGAAGGGGGUUGAACCCUGGAUGUGCUGCUUCCUGGAGGACGCAUUGCUGGGAGGCUGACUCUGGGAAGCGUGAUGGGUUGGUUGGGUUUUCCACCAUAGGGUCUUCCCCCUUGACUUUAUCCUGACCUGCUGUCCCCCAACUCUUGUGACCUUCAGUUUGAGUCCUUCCUCAAACUUCUGUCUCCUUCCUCGCCCCUCCCGCUUGCCGACUCUGUCUGCGCUCAUUUAAUGUGGUGGAAGGAGACAUUUCCUGGGGUGUGGGCGACUGUCCUGUUUGACCUGAUGGGCGUCUGCCUGUCACAUAACUUGGUGAGAAAGCAACAAAACGGUUCCCAGAGGA